CACCUGCAAAGCUCGGCGAGC
RNAcentral lists this unclassified non-coding RNA (21 nucleotides) under Chlamydomonas reinhardtii. RNAcentral describes it as "small RNA Cre_0882". The record is from RNAcentral. Lineage: Eukaryota; Viridiplantae; Chlorophyta; Chlorophyceae; Chlamydomonadales; Chlamydomonadaceae.